Molecule: long non-coding RNA, 1413 nt
Filed under: Nicotiana tabacum (common tobacco)
Lineage: Eukaryota; Viridiplantae; Streptophyta; Magnoliopsida; Solanales; Solanaceae
Description: long non-coding RNA (NTAB_LNC018334)
Source: RNAcentral
GCCAACACGAUCCUUUAUAAACUCAAAACAUAGGCCGACCAGGCCGUACAAUCUUUUAGAUACACAACAUAUGUCUACAAGCCUCUAAGAGUACAUAAAUGUCAUAAAGGUCGGGACAGAGUCCCACCUUACCAAACAAUACACGUCUAAAUCAUACUAACCAAACGAGAAACUCCGAAGCAAAUGGAGCGCACCAACAUUUUCCGCUGAGCUGAUAGCCUACUUUGAGGACUCUUAACCUAUCUAUCAGGACCUGCGGGCAUGAAACAUAGCGUCCCCAGGCAAAAGGGAUGUCAGUACGAAUAAUGUACCGAGUAUGUAAGGCACAUAAAUAAAUCCAUAAGAGACAUAGAAGAAAUAUAGAGUACAUGACUCAACCUGUAAGUCUGAAUAACCUUGUAAAUGAUAAAUUAGUUUUAGCAUCAUACAUAUGCGUAUGAAUGUCAUGUCCUGCAUAGAUAUAUGUUUCAUAACAUCAUCAGCCUCUAAGGGCAUCCCAUCAUGUCAUAUCGGCCACUGUGGGCAAAAUCGUCAUCGUAUACCAGCUGAUCAGGUGGUGGUACGUAUAAAAUGCCAUAACCUUUCCCAUAUAUACGCUUAUAUAACGCCAUUUAAAUCAUAUUUACAUAUAUACGCGUAUAUAGUGCCAUUUGAAUCAUAUUUCAGCCAAUGUGGGCAACAUAAUCAUCAUAUAUCAGCUGAUCAGGUGGUGGUGCGUAUAUAACGCCAUAACCUUUCCCAUAUGCCAUAUACAUAUAUAUACAUACAUAUAUAUGCGUAUAUAACACCAUCUGGUCAUGGGUCAAUGCACAUGAAUGCAAUCCAUGAAAAGUACGUUAAUAAAAUCUUUCGGAGCUUAAUAAGACCAUUUUGCCUUUGAGCAAUAUCAUAAAGUAAACUCUUUUAAACUUUCAUAUUUUUCUGAGACCCAUGAACAGAUGAUAAAAUAUUAUGACACACGGAAAUUCAAGAACAUAGAUAUCUCUAAUACUUCUAUGAAUAGAGUCAUUCAUGGAAUUUGUGCAUUUGCACAUUUCGUUCGUAUCGAAUGGAUCAUGCCAAAAGAAAGAAAGACUGGCCUUAACAUACCUAGAGUAGGAACAACUCCGUAUAAGUAUCCCGUUGGAAACCUUCGUGGAUUGAAUUUAGAACCCAAAAAAUUGAAUUAAGCUUCUGCUUUUAAAAUUCUUGAACGAAAACUGCUCCUGCCUCUUUGAAUAUUUUUGAACGAAAUUUCUAAGCUUCUGGAUUCUUGAAGCACUGAACGAAAGAAUGCAACUCCAAUUUCAAGCUUCAAGCUUCUUGAUUUUUGAGGAAUGAGUACGUUAAUCCUUUUUCAAAAUGAAAAAUGGAGACUUUGACAUAUGAUGUAUAUUUGGAACUUAAAGAACGUUCUGACUCCUCCAAAAGAAC